Molecule: ribosomal RNA, 451 nt
Filed under: uncultured bacterium
Lineage: Bacteria
Description: partial 16S ribosomal RNA
Rfam family: Bacterial small subunit ribosomal RNA
Source: RNAcentral
GAUGAACGCUGGCGGCGUGCCUAACACAUGCAAGUCGAGCGGCAGCGAGGGGUGCUUGCACCCUGUCGGCGAGCGGCGGACGGCUGAGUAACGCGUGGGAACGUGCCCCAAAGUGAGGAAUAACUGCCCGAAAGGGUAGCUAAUACCGCAUAUUAUCUUCGGAUCAAAGGAUUUAUCCGCUUUGGGAGCGGCUCGCGUCGGAUUAGGUAGUUGGUGAGGUAAUGGCUCACCAAGCCGACGAUCCGUAGCUGGUCUGAGAGGAUGACCAGCCAGACUGGAACUGAGACACGGUCCAGACUCCUGCGGGAGGCAGCAGUGAGGAAUCUUCCACAAUGGGCGAAAGCCUGAUGGAGCAACGCCGCGUGCAGGACUAAGGCCUUCGGGUUGUAAACUGCUUUUAUGAGUGAGGAAUAUGACGGUAACUUAUGAAUAAGGAUCGGCUAACUACGUG